This 229-nucleotide ribosomal RNA is filed under the name uncultured bacterium. RNAcentral describes it as "partial 16S ribosomal RNA". It matches the Rfam family "Bacterial small subunit ribosomal RNA", at positions 568 to 796 of the family's 1533-position model. The record is from RNAcentral.
UGCGUAGGCGGAAUGAUAAGUUAGUGGUGAAAGCCCCCGGCUCAACCGGGGAACUGCCAUUAAUACUGUCAUUCUUGAGUAUAGUUGAAGUGGGCGGAAUGUAUCAUGUAGCGGUGAAAUGCUUAGAUAUGAUACAGAACACCGAUAGCGUAGGCAGCUUGCUAAACUAUAACUAACGCUCAGGCACGAAAGCGUGGGGAGCAAACAGGAUUAGAUACCCUGGUAGUCC